CCAAUAGCGUAUAUUAAAGUUGUUGCAGUUAAAAAGCUCGUAGUUGAAUUUCGGGAUCAAUUAGUCGGUCGUGCCUCUGGUACGUACUGGUUUUAUUGGUUCCUCCCUUCUGACGAAACAUGAUGUCAUUAAUUUGGUGUCGUGGAGAAUCAGGACUGUUACCUUGAAAAAAUUAGAGUGUUUAUAGCAGGCUAACGCUUGAAUACAUUAGUAUGGAAUAAUGAAAUAGGACGUUCGACCCUAUUUUGUUGGUUUCUAGGAUCGACGUAAUGAUUAAUAGGGAUAGUUGGGGGCAUUAGUAUUCAAUUGUCAGAGGUGAAAUUCUUGGAUUUAUUGAAGACUAACUACUGCGAAAGCAUUUGCCAAGGAUGUUUUCAUUAAUCAAGAACGAAAGUCAGAGGUUCGAAGACGAUCAGAUACCGUCGUAGUUCUGACCAUAAACGAUGUCGACUAGCGAUCCGCGGUCGUUGUUCAUAUGACCUCGCGGGCAGCCUUCG
Molecule: ribosomal RNA, 497 nt
Filed under: uncultured Glomeromycotina
Lineage: Eukaryota; Fungi; Glomeromycota
Description: partial small subunit ribosomal RNA
Rfam family: Eukaryotic small subunit ribosomal RNA
Source: RNAcentral